RNAcentral lists this unclassified non-coding RNA (337 nucleotides) under soil metagenome. RNAcentral's name for it is "partial contains 5.8S ribosomal RNA, internal transcribed spacer 2, and large subunit ribosomal RNA". The stretch from base 1 to 120 matches the Rfam family "5.8S ribosomal RNA", at positions 35 to 154 of the family's 154-position model. The record is from RNAcentral.
GAUGAAGAACGCAGCGAAAUGCGAUAAGUAGUGUGAAUUGCAGAAUUCAGUGAAUCAUCGAAUCUUUGAACGCACAUUGCGCCCCUUGAUAUUCCAUGGGGCAUGCCUGUUCGAGCGUCAUUUGUACCUUCAAGCUUUGCUUGGUGUUGGGUGUUUGUCUCGCCUCUGCGUGUAGACUCGCCUCAAAACAAUUGGCAGCCGGCGUAUUGAUUUCGGAGCGCAGUACAUCUCGCGCUUUGCACUCAUAACGACGACGUCCAAAAGUACAUUUUUACACUCUUGACCUCGGAUCAGGUAGGGAUACCCGCUGAACUUAAGCAUAUCAAUAAGCGGAGGA